RNAcentral lists this ribosomal RNA (429 nucleotides) under Acidobacteriota bacterium. Its description in RNAcentral is "Acidobacteria bacterium partial 16S ribosomal RNA". It matches the Rfam family "Bacterial small subunit ribosomal RNA", at positions 355 to 776 of the family's 1533-position model. Lineage: Bacteria; Pseudomonadati; Acidobacteriota. The record is from RNAcentral.
UGGGGAAUUUUGGACAAUGGGGGAAACCCUGAUCCAGCCAUCCCGCGUGUGCGAUGAAGGCCUUCGGGUUGUAAAGCACUUUUGGCAGGAAAGAAACGUCAUGGGUUAAUACCCCGUGAAACUGACGGUACCUGCAGAAUAAGCACCGGCUAACUACGUGCCAGCAGCCGCGGUAAUACGUAGGGUGCAAGCGUUAAUCGGAAUUACUGGGCGUAAAGCGUGCGCAGGCGGUUCGGAAAGAAAGAUGUGAAAUCCCAGAGCUCAACUUUGGAACUGCAUUUUUAACUACCGGGCUAGAGUGUGUCAGAGGGAGGUGGAAUUCCGCGUGUAGCAGUGAAAUGCGUAGAUAUGCGGAGGAACACCGAUGGCGCAGGCAGCCUCCUGGGAUAACACUGACGCUCAUGCACGAAAGCGUGGGGAGCAAACAGG